Molecule: long non-coding RNA, 855 nt
Organism: Spinacia oleracea (spinach)
Lineage: Eukaryota; Viridiplantae; Streptophyta; Magnoliopsida; Caryophyllales; Amaranthaceae
Exons: 2
Source: RefSeq, a predicted model, not a curated record
UUUAAUUUUGAAUAAUUUAAUUAUUAGGAUUUUUUGUAAUUUACCACCUAAAAAAAAACCAAAUUUGUGUUUUACCACCUUAAAAUCUCAAGGUUUUAAAUUACCACCUAUAAAAAAGUUUUUUUUUUUUCACCACCUCUUAACAGACCCGUUAACAGUUCCGUCAAGUGAGGCCCACUCCCAACGCUAGCUCAUUAGAUUCUUACAAAAUACACGACACAAUCUACUGAAGGCUUCUUGUUCUCCCCGCUUCUUCCAAUCUUCAUGUAAAUCAGAAAUUUGCAUCACAAAGCUUGAAAUUGAUUGAGGGAUUUCAUUAACUUUUGUUUCCGAGCAAUUUGGUGGGCGAAAGAAGAAGAAUCAAGUCCUUAGUUUAUCGGUAAUAAAUACGGAGUAUCACUAAGCAGUUGAGUGAAGCCGGAAAACCAGGGUGCAGAUCAGCAGCAGAACAGUGCAGAUCAGUCUGCAGAUCAGCAGCAGAUCAAUGCAGAUCAGUGUGCAGAUCAGCCUGCAGAUCAGGAGCAAAUCACUCUGCAUAUUAGUUCAGAUCAGCAGCAGAUUAGUACAGAUAAGCAACAACUCCGUGUGCAGAUCAGUCUACAGACCAUCAACAAAUCAGUCUGUAGAUUAGUGCAGAUCAAAUAGCAGCAGUAAAGAUGAGGUAGAAUGGCAGCAAAGAAGAAGAAGAACGUGCAAAUAUUGUUAGGGCUAAAAGUUUGGAGGGAAAUUUAAUUGGUGGGCCCCACUUGACGGAACUGUUAACGGGUCUAUUAAGAGGUGGUGAAAAAAAAAAAUCUUAAGUCUUGAACUUUUAUUACUAUUCACUCAAUAGUGCAAUUACCUACAUAUCUUCAA